This 253-nucleotide ribosomal RNA is filed under the name uncultured bacterium. RNAcentral describes it as "partial 16S ribosomal RNA". It matches the Rfam family "Bacterial small subunit ribosomal RNA", at positions 524 to 776 of the family's 1533-position model. The record is from RNAcentral.
UACAGGGGGUGCAAACGUUGCUCGGAAUUAUUGGGCGUAAAGCGCGCGUAGGCGGCCACUUAAGUCGGAUGUGAAAGCCCCUGGCUCAACUGGGGAAGUGCACCCGAAACUGAAUGGCUUGAGUGCGAAAGAGGGUCGCGGAAUUCCCGGUGUAGAGGUGAAAUUCGUAGAUAUCGGGAGGAACACCGGUGGCGAAGGCGGCGACCUGGGUCGACACUGACGCUGAGGCGCGAAAGCGCGGGGAGCAAACAGG